This 490-nucleotide ribosomal RNA is filed under the name uncultured bacterium. RNAcentral describes it as "partial 16S ribosomal RNA". It matches the Rfam family "Bacterial small subunit ribosomal RNA", at positions 30 to 507 of the family's 1533-position model. The record is from RNAcentral.
AUUGAACGCUGGCGGCAGGCCUAACACAUGCAAGUCGAACGGUAACAGGAAGACGCUUGCUUCUUUGCUGACGAGUGGCGGACGGGUGAGUAAUGUCUGGGAAACUGCCUGCUGGAGGGGGAUAACUACUGGAAACGGUAGCUAAUACCGCAUAACGUCGCAAGACCAAAGAGGGGGACCUUCGGGCCUCUGGCCAUCGGAUGUGCCCAGAUGGGAUUAGCUAGUAGGUGGGGUAACGGCUCACCUAGGCGACGAUCCCUAGCUGGUCUGAGAGGAUGACCAGCCACACUGGAACUGAGACACAGUCCAGACACCUACGGGAGGAAGCAGUGGGGAAUAUUGCGCAAGGGGCGCAAGGCUGAUGCAGCCAUGCCGCGUGUAUGAAGAAGGCCUUCGGGUUGUAAAGUACUUUCAGCGGGGAGGAAGGGAGUAAAGUUAAUACCUUUGCUCAUUGACGUUACCCGCAGAAGAAGCACCGGCUAACUCCGUG